AGAGUUUGAUCCUGGCUCAGAACGUACGCUGGCGGCACGCCUAACACAUGCAAGUCGAACGAAGUAGCAAUACUUAGUGGCAGACGGGUGAGUAACAUGUAGGUAUCUGCCCUUUGGCCUGGAAUAACACGAGGAAACUUGUGCUAAUACCGGAUAAGUCUUUACGGAGAAAGCUUUAUGCACCAUUGGAUGAGCCUGCACUUGAUUAGUUUGUUGGUGGGGUAAUGGCCUACCAAGACUGUGAUCAAUAGCUGAUUUGAGAGGAUGAUCAGCCACAUUGGGACUGAGACACGGCCCAAACUCCUACGGGAGGCAGCAGUGGGGAAUCUUGCACAAUGGAGGAAACUCUGAUGCAGCGAUGCCGCGUGAGUGAAGAAGGCCCUUGGGUUGUAAAGCUCUUUCGUCGGGGAAGAAAAUGACUGUACCCGAAUAAGAAGGUCCGGCUAACUUCGUGCCAGCAGCCGCGGUAAUACGAAGGGACCUAGCGUAGUUCGGAAUUACUGGGCUUAAAGAGUUCGUAGGUGGUUGAAAAAGUUAGUGGUGAAAUCCCAGAGCUUAACUCUGGAACUGCCAUUAAAACUUUUUAGCUAGAGUAUGAUAGAGGAAAGUAGAAUUUCUAGUGUAGAGGUGAAAUUCGUAGAUAUUAGAAAGAAUACCAAUUGCGAAGGCAGCUUUCUGGAUCAUUACUGACACUGAGGAACGAAAGCAUGGGUAGCGAAGAGGAUUAGAUACCCUCGUAGUCCAUGCCGUAAACGAUGUGUGUUAGACGUUGGAAAUUUAUUUUCAGUGUCGCAGCGAAAGCGAUAAACACACCGCCUGGGGAGUACGACCGCAAGGUUAAAACUCAAAUGAAUUGACGGGGACCCGCACAAGUAGUGGAGCAUGUGGUUUAAUUCGAAGAUACGCGCAGAACCUUACCAACACUUGACAUGUUCGUCGCAACUCUAAGAGAUUAGAGUUUUCGGUUCGGCCGGACGAAACACAGGUGCUGCAUGGCUGUCGUCAGCUCGUGUCGUGAGAUGUUGGGUUAAGUCCCGCAACGAGCGCAACCCUCACUUUUAGUUGCCAUCAUUAAGUUGGGCACUCUGAAAGAACUGCCAGUGAUAAGCUGGAGGAAGGUGGGGAUGACGUCAAGUCCUCAUGGCCCUUACGUGUUGGGCUACACACGUGCUACAAUGGUAUCUACAACAGGAAGCAAGACUGCGAAGUUAAGCAAAUCCCUAAAAGAUACCUCAGUUCGGAUUGCACUCUGCAACUCGAGUGCAUGAAGCUGGAAUUACUAGUAAUCGUGGAUCAGCGUGCCACGGUGAAUGCGUUCCCGGGUCUUGUACACACCGCCCGUCACACCAUGGGAGUUGGUUCUACCUUAAGGCAAGGUUUAAAACCCUUGACCACGGUAUAGUCAGCGACUGGGGUGAAGUCGUAACAAGGUAACC
RNAcentral lists this ribosomal RNA (1436 nucleotides) under uncultured bacterium. RNAcentral describes it as "bacterial SSU rRNA". It matches the Rfam family "Bacterial small subunit ribosomal RNA". The record is from RNAcentral.